This 468-nucleotide ribosomal RNA is filed under the name uncultured bacterium. RNAcentral describes it as "partial 16S ribosomal RNA". It matches the Rfam family "Bacterial small subunit ribosomal RNA", at positions 28 to 507 of the family's 1533-position model. The record is from RNAcentral.
GACGAACGCUGGCGGCGUGCUUAACACAUGCAAGUCGAACGGAAAGGCCCUGCUUUUGUGGGGUGCUCGAGUGGCGAACGGGUGAGUAACACGAGAGUAACCUGCCCUUGACUUUGGGAUAACUUCAGGAAACUGGGGCUAAUACCGGAUAGGAGCUCCUGCUGCAUGGUGGGGGUUGGAAAGUUUCGGCGGUUGGGGCUGGACUCGCGGCUUAUCAGCUUGUUGGUGGGGUAGUGGCUUACCAAGGCUUUGACGGGUAGCCGGCCUGGGAGGGUGACCGGCCACAUUGGGACUGAGAUACGGCCCAGACUCCUACGGGAGGCAGCAGUGGGGAAUAUUGCACAAUGGGCGGAAGCCUGAUGCAGCAACGCCGCGUGCGGGAUGACGGCCUUCGGGUUGUAAACCGCUUUCGCCUGUGACGAAGCGUGAGUGACGGUAAUGGGUAAAGAAGCACCGGCUAACUACGUG